RNAcentral lists this ribosomal RNA (891 nucleotides) under uncultured marine group I thaumarchaeote. RNAcentral's name for it is "SSU rRNA". It matches the Rfam family "Archaeal small subunit ribosomal RNA", at positions 23 to 921 of the family's 1478-position model. The record is from RNAcentral. Lineage: Archaea; Thermoproteati; Nitrososphaerota.
CUGACUGCUAUCGGAUGAUACUAAGCCAUGCGAGUCUUUGUAGUAAUACAAGGCAGACGGCUCAGUAACACGUAGUCAACCUACCCUAUGGACAAGAAUAAUCUCGGGAAACUGGGCAUAAUUCUUGAUAGAUCAUAAUGCCUGGAAUGGUUUAUGGUUAAAAUGAUUCGUCGCCAUAGGAUGGGACUGCGGCCUAUCAGCUUGUUGGUGAGGUAAUGGCCCACCAAGGCGAUUACAGGUACGGGCUCUGAGAGGAGAAGCCCGGAGAUGGGUACUGAGACACGGACCCAGGCCCUAUGGGGCGCAGCAGGCGAGAAAACUUUGCAAUGUGCGAAAGCACGACAAGGUUAAUCCGAGUGAUUUCUGCUAAAGAAAUCUUUUGCCAGUCAUAAAACCACUGGUGAAUAAGGGGUGGGCAAGUUCUGGUGUCAGCCGCCGCGGUAAAACCAGCACCUCAAGUGGUCAGGAUGAUUAUUGGGCCUAAAGCAUCCGUAGCCGGCUUUGUAAGUUUUCGGUUAAAUCCAUGUGCUCAACGCAUGGGCUGCCGAAAAUACUGCAUGGCUAGGGAGUGGGAGAGGUAGACGGUACUCAGUAGGAAGGGGUAAAAUCCUUUGAUCUAUUGAUGACCACCCGUGGCGAAGGCGGUCUACCAGAACACGUUCGACGGUGAGGGAUGAGAGCUGGGGGAGCAAACCGGAUUAGAUACCCGGGUAGUCCCAGCUGUAAACGAUGCAGACUCGAUGAUGCAUUGGCAUAAUAGCCAGUGCAGUGUCGCAGGGAAGCCGUUAAGUCUGCCGCCUGGGAAGUACGUACGCAAGUAUGAAACUUAAAGGAAUUGGCGGGGGAGCACCACAAGGGGUGAAGCCUGCGGUUCAUUGGAUUCACCGCCGG